UGUCUGCCGUCAAUCAUUUUUCGAUUAUCAGAUCUAUAUCCGACGCACAAAAGCGAGCCACUUCAUAUCUGCAAAAGAAAGCUUAUUCUCUACGUCCCGCUCCAUUCAUCCCGGCCUUAUCCAACCAGACAACCAGAAGUACCGCUCCACACGCCGCCGGCGCUGGUCGCUCCAAACGCCUCUCCCGACUCCACUCUGGCUCAGCAGCCCCACCUCUACCGCCAGACCUCCCCCUCCGACGCCGACAUCAGCAAGUACGCCGCCGGCGCGGCCCGUCCCCCAAGUCCACGACGCCUGUUGUUGCCUCCUCUUCUGAUGCAGCAGCCCCGCUGCCCACCACCUCCUCCUCCCCAACAUCUCCUCCUCCCCCUACCCCGUCUCCAUCAAUGUCCACGCCGGCAAGUACGCCGUCGGAGCUGUCCUUCCCCCGAGUGCGCAACGCCUCUCCCGCAUCCUCCUCUGAUGCAGAAGCCCCAUCACCACCCCCUCCUCCUCGCUGUCUCCACCAUCGCCGACCUUCGCGUAUGCCGGCUACGCGCUACACAUCCUCGGCGGCCGCGCCGACGUGCUCCACGUUCUUCCACUUCGCGUACGAGCUGCUCCCCGAGGACCUCUUUGUCGUCUGCUGCAAUUGAAGCGCCACGAGUCGGUCCGUCUCGGAGAUGGCUGGUCUGGUCUCUGGUGUGAUCUGUGAUGUUGACGUGGAGGAACUAUGCUCUGCUAUUGCCAUCUACUAAUAAUAUUCUUUGUCAAGGACCAAGAAUCUUGAUUGAUGUAAGAAAGUUACAAGAGGGCCGGUGCAUUUUUUUGUGUGUGUAUAUGCACAUGUACGCUCGCUACUUCUAUAUGCACAUGAUUCCAAAGCAUCUCUUACUAUACAUUUUGCUUUGUUUAUACACUACAAGCUCAGUUUUUUCCUUUUUCUGAAUGUAACACAGGCAAUUAUGUAUGCAGUAGUGAUUAUAUGAUGUCCUUUAUAUAAAAUCGCAUGACUUCGUCAGGCAUAUGCACAUAUAUACUCAGUAUCAGCUCCAACUACACUUGGAUUUUGGUUCUCACCAAAUCACUGAAAUAUUUGAAAAUUGAUGAUUUACAUGGCAGGUCCAAAAGAUGUUCGAUAAGCUUAGGAGUUUCCCGGAGAAACCCUUGGAUUUAGGUCUGAAGCUGAAGAACUACAAGGUCAAAGAGGCAGCAAGUCUUACGCCCCAAAUGUUAUAGCCCUCGUGCCAACAAAGUGCUAAAGGAAAACAAAAAGGUUGGUCUCCUACUUUACCGCCUGGCAAAACAAUCUGCUUUCAUAUUUCUUAGUUUGUACCUGACCAUUUAUGUCCAACUUGCAAUGAGUGGUCGACGGCAGUAACAUGCUAUACCAUCAUUCCAUAUGUCGUUCCUGGCGGUGCUGAUGCCAAUUACCCCGAGCCAUUAUGUCCGCUCCUAACCGUAAUCAUCCCUCCAUAAGUUAUGUGUCCUAUUAGAUCCAAGAAAUUGGUCAUUUUUUGGAGUAAAGAUGUGUAUCAGAUACGUGCGCAAUUGAAACCGCGCUCUCUCCUAAACAUGUGAUUUGCUAAAUGUUUAGAAUGAAUCGGUUGCGGAUCCGCAUAGCACCUUGUGAGCUGCACAUUUAGACUUUCUGUUUGAUUCUUUGUAGAAGCUCGCAGUUCAUCCUUGCUGAAGUUCACUGUACUCCAUUCCUCGGGUUGGUACCAGAUUUGCUAUUCAGUAUCUAGACCAUACUUUAAUUGUGACGUGUGUCAGAUUUUUGUACUUGGCCUGAUUUGGUGUAACGUAAAUAGGGGAUCAUGAUCAAGGAUGACUAAGUGUAUUAUUUAGUAGAUAAGUUCUCGAGUCCCACACCUUGUAUCAAGUACUUUAACUUCCCAGUCUUCGAAAAAAUAUUAGUCUGUAUUUAACAUAAUUUGAAAUAAUCACUUUUACGAAAAAAACAUAUGCAUACUUGUGUUGUUGUGUGAGAUCUACUUGGAAGUGCUAUAUGAUAAAAUAUAUGUAGCAUUAAUAAUAUCCUUCUGGUUUGUGGUCUGAUAUGUGCUAAUCAGUGCAGUAUUGCUUGUAGAUAGAUUUUUCAUGACUUCAAGCUGUGCCUCCCAACUCCAAGUAAAUUUUGAUAUUGUGUAAGUUCUAUAAGCUUGAAAUCCCAUGGAAAAUAGCGCUAUUCUUUUUCUAAGACAGUCAUAUGCCUACAUGAACCAGUAAAUUAUUGGAAUGUUUCUUAAAGAAGUACUCCUUUGUAAACUAAUAUAAGAUCUUUAUCUAUUAGUUUACAGAGGGAGUACAUCUUAAUUGGUUUAGUUCCAUGGCAGAGCAAAUCCUAUCUGACUCUUAUUUUGCAGAUAGUCGACCAAACACACCAUAUCGUGGGCUAGCAUAGCAUGGUCAGAGAUGAGACCGAGGGCUUGAAGUGGAGCCGGAGACUACGCGACCAAAUUAGAUUUUUGUGCAUUAUAUGGUGUCUUGGCAGAUUUAGAUUCCCCUUAAAAAAUGACGCCAUUGACUUUAUGUUGAACACUAUUUCGGCGUUACAAGGCAACAACCGCUAGACCAAAUUCUGUAAUUUAGCAUGUUCAGCGCAUUCAGGUUGUGAGUAUGUGUAUUUUAGUUCAAGGAUUAUGUGUGCUUGUGGACACUUGCAGUUUACAUUUUGUCAAAUUUUGCUCA
Long non-coding RNA from Triticum aestivum (bread wheat), 2673 nucleotides. RefSeq lists it as uncharacterized. NCBI's taxonomy places the organism in Eukaryota, Viridiplantae, Streptophyta, Magnoliopsida, Poales, Poaceae. The record is from RefSeq and is a predicted model, not a curated record. The transcript has 2 exons.